RNAcentral lists this long non-coding RNA (240 nucleotides) under Mytilus galloprovincialis (Mediterranean mussel). Lineage: Eukaryota; Metazoa; Mollusca; Bivalvia; Mytilida; Mytilidae. The record is from RNAcentral.
CCAUGGAUAAAUUUAUGCAAGCUUCUCAUCAAUGCUGUAUCUCUUUCAAUUAAAAUACCGAAGAUAAAACAGAGUUAUGUUUUCUCCAGUGGGUCCCAAAUGUAUUGGUCAUUAUGUCGUGACGUCAUAUAUCGAAUGACGUCGUUGUUUGGCAUGUUACGUCACAGACGUUGUUCUGUCGUAUUUUCCGGCAUAUGAAAUGCAACCUUGAAAAACGGUCGGCAGCAAGAGGGUUAAGUA